This 28-nucleotide non-coding RNA is filed under the name Cricetulus griseus (Chinese hamster). Lineage: Eukaryota; Metazoa; Chordata; Mammalia; Rodentia; Cricetidae. The record is from RNAcentral.
UACUGUGUGAGCUGUGCUAUUCAUAGCA